Molecule: ribosomal RNA, 439 nt
Filed under: uncultured bacterium
Lineage: Bacteria
Description: partial 16S ribosomal RNA
Rfam family: Bacterial small subunit ribosomal RNA
Source: RNAcentral
CUACGGGGUGCUCCAGUGGGGAAUAUUGCACAAUGGGCGCAAGCCUGAUGCAGCAACGCCGCGUGAGUGAAGAAGGCCUUCGGGUCGUAAAACUCUGUCCUAAGGGAAGAAUAAUGACGGUACCUUAGGAGGAAGCCCCGGCUAACUACGUGCCAGCAGCCGCGGUAAUACGUAGGGGGCAAGCGUUAUCCGGAAUCACUGGGCGUAAAGGGUGCGUAGGGGGCCUGUCAAGUCAGAAGUGAAAGGCUAUGGCUCAACCAUAGUAAGCUUUUGAAACUGAUGGGCUUGAAUACAGGAGAGGUAAGUGGAAUUCCUAGUGUAGCGGUGAAAUGCGUAGAGAUUAGGAGGAACACCAGUGGCGAAGGCGACUUACUGGACUGUUAUUGACGCUGAGGCACGAAAGCGUGGGGAGCGAACAGGAUUAGAUACCCGCGUAGUC